AGGAAGAAGGCCUUCGGGUUGUAAACUGCUUUUGUACGGAACGAAACGGUGCUCUUUAAUAAAGAGUGCUAAUGACGGUACCGUAAGAAUAAGCACCGGCUAACUACGUGCCAGCAGCCGCGGUAAUACGUAGGGUGCGAGCGUUAAUCGGAAUUACUGGGCGUAAAGCGUGCGCAGGCGGUUAUAUAAGACAGUUGUGAAAUCCCUGGGCUCAACCUAGGAAUUGCAUCUGUGACUGUAUAGCUAGAGUACGGUAGAGGGGGAUGGAAUUCCGCGUGUAGCAGUGAAAUGCGUAGAUAUGCGGAGGAACACCGAUGGCGAAGGCAAUCCCCUGGACCUGUACUGACGCUCAUGCACGAAAGCGUGGGGAGCAAACAGGAUUAGAUACCCUGGUAGUCCACGCCCUAAACGAUGUCAACUGGUUGUUGGGUGCAUUAGUACUCAGUAACGAAGCUAACGCGUGAAGUUGACCGCCUGGGGAGUACGGCCGCAAGGUUGAAACUCAAA
RNAcentral lists this ribosomal RNA (507 nucleotides) under uncultured bacterium. RNAcentral's name for it is "bacterial SSU rRNA". It matches the Rfam family "Bacterial small subunit ribosomal RNA", at positions 405 to 905 of the family's 1533-position model. The record is from RNAcentral.